Molecule: long non-coding RNA, 2065 nt
Organism: Anolis carolinensis (green anole)
Lineage: Eukaryota; Metazoa; Chordata; Lepidosauria; Squamata; Anolidae
Exons: 3
Source: RefSeq, a predicted model, not a curated record
CAACCGGUGGGGACCUUGCGCAAUGACGUCUGACGUAGGAGCAAUGACGACAGACGUAGGAGUCUGCGCAUGCGUCAAGUAGCAAGGUCACGAGUAAACGAGGGGGCGCUGUCCUUUUGGAGAAGUUUUUAUCCACCUGAAGGAGGGAAGAAGAAUAUUAAUCAUACUGCACGGGAAGGUAUAGCUUCUAUGGAGAGUUUGAUGCUGAAGAAGAAAGAUACAUUUUGUCCAGAAACAGUUAUCCUAAACAUAGCACAAGUAGAAUGAAGUGAAGGAGGAGUAAAGAAGAGCAUCAGCAACUCUUCUCAGUCUUCCUCGCCUCCAUCCCAAACCAGGUCUGAAGGUGAACAUCUACACUAAGAAACUCUCUCUAGAUAUCUAGGCUUUCCUUGUAAUUUAGACUCCCCUCUACACUGCCAUAUAAUCUAGAUUAUCAAACAGAUAACCCACAGUAUCUGCUUUGAACUGGGUUAUAUGAAUUUAGACUGCCAUAUAAUCCAGUUCAAAACAGAUGUGGAUUUUAUAUGGCAGUGUAGAAGGGGCCUUAGAGUUGUAAAUUGUACAGAGCUGUACAUUGUGUGUGGAGCCUAUACACAUUCAAAACAAUGUAUUGUUAUGCACAGGAAGCGUUAGUUUUCUGGAUGACAGUUCCCAGAAUCCUCAAGCCAGUCCGGCAACUAGUCAAGAUGGCUAUGGGAUUCCAGGAGCUGUAUUUAAAAAUUCAACUUUUCUCUGCUCUGACUAUAUCAGCUUGAGUACUGAGGUUAGCUCUCUUCUUGUGAAUAUCACAUAAAAUCACUUUGUCAUUGGAUAAUUUGACAUAUAAUCAACACAUGUUUUUGAACUAUUUACUUAUUUUUGUCUUGAUCGGAAUCUUGGGUCUCUUGAGGAAGGCCGAAGAGAAGCGAUCGUCCAAAUCUUUGUGGCAAAUUGGCAAGAGAACGGGAAAGGCUUUGAACAUCGGGAGCUCUCUCAAAUCUGUGUGAAAAAGGAAGGACAUGCCUCCGAAGUCUUCCCAAAGGUGCCCUUCCAAAUCUGAGUGGCAAGUUGGCUGCGGGUUUUAUGCUUCUUUCCUCUCUGACUUUUCUGCCAAACCUCAGUGGCAAGUUAACGGCUGCAUGUGCCAUCUUCUUCAUUUCUGGCGUUGUCCUCCUAAUGAUUUUAUUCAGCUCCCAGUCAUUCAUAGAUUCAAGAUCCAUACUCCUCAGCUUUUCUUCUGUAAGUGCUCCGCCAGCCUAAAAGGGAAAAAAACCAACAUGAUCUCAAGGUAACUAUGAACAAGAAACAUGUUGCUAAAGAAGCAAGAUGCUGAUUAAGGUUUGGACUUGUGGUAAUUUAGAAAACCUGCCUUAGGACCAGAGGCGGUCCAACCAUAAGGCGAACUAGGCACUUGCCUGUGGCGCCAUCGUCCCAGGGGCGCCAUCGUCCUGGGAGGAGGGCACCACUCUCCACCUCCUUCUCUUUUGGGCCUUCCGGCGGCCACGCUGGGCCUCCUGGUGCCUGUGCUGGGCUUUCCGGCCGGUGCAGACCCACCUUCGCACCACGGGAGCCCACCUUUGGGGCCUUCAGAGAUUGUGAGGUCUGUGGGAACUUGGAAGCUAGGUAUGUGGGGUUUAUAUAUCUGUAGAAGGUCCAGGGUGGGAGAAAGAACUUUCCUUUGAAGCAGGUGUGAAUGUUGUAAUUAAUUACCUUGAUUAGCAUUUAAUGGCCCUGUGGCUUCAAGGCCUGUCUUCUUCUUGCCUGGGAGAAUCUUUUUUUGGGAGGAGUUAGCUGUCCCUGAUUGUUUACUGUCUGGAUUUCUUCUGUUUUCAGAGUGUUGUUCUUUAUUGUCCUGAUUUUAGAGUUUUUUUUAAUACUGAGGGCUGUCUGGGUUAUCUAAGUCCACACUGCCCUAUAUCCCUGUUCAAUGUUUAGUGCUAAAUUCGCAAAUAUAGUAAUUCCUACAUAAUAUUACCAUGUAUUGAACUGCUUUUUCUAUUGAUUUGUUGUAAAACAUGAUGUUUUGGUGCUUAAUUUGUAAAAUCAUAAUGUAAUUUGAUGUUUAAUAGGCUUUUCCUUUAUCUUU